CCUACGGGUGGCAGCAGUGAGGAAUAUUGGUCAAUGGACGAGCGUCUGAACCAGCCAAGUAGCGUGAAGGAUGACUGCCCUAUGGGUUGUAAACUUCUUUUAUAUGGGAAUAAAAUGUUCCACGUGUGGGAUUUUGUAUGUACCAUAUGAAUAAGGAUUGGCUAACUCCGUGCCAGCAGCCGCGGUAAUACGGAGGAACGCAGCGUUAUCCGGAUUUAUUGGGGUUAAAGGGAGCGUUGGUGGGUUGUUAAACCAGUUGUGAAAGUUGGCGGCUCAAACGUAAAAUUGCAGUUGAAACUGGCAGUCUUGAGUACAGUAGAGGUGGGCGGAAUUCGUGGUGUAGCGGUGAAAUGCUUAGAUAUCACGAAGAACUCCGAUUGCGAAGGCAGCUCACUGGACUGCAACUGACACUGAGGCUCGAAAGUGUGGGUAUCAAACAGGAUUAGAUACCCUUGUAGUC
This 460-nucleotide ribosomal RNA is filed under the name uncultured bacterium. Its description in RNAcentral is "partial 16S ribosomal RNA". It matches the Rfam family "Bacterial small subunit ribosomal RNA", at positions 338 to 795 of the family's 1533-position model. The record is from RNAcentral.